AAUAAUUUUAUUCUGGUUAAAGAUAGUUUUUAAUAGGAGAAUUCUCAUAGAUAUUAUAGUAUUACUUAGUAUAAAGAUAACUUUAGUUCUAGAGAAGAACACUUAGACAAUUAGGUAUUAAAUCUGGCUCCUAUUAACAGAGAGGUAAAGGCUCAGUGCCAGCAACCGCGGUUAAACUGACUACUCAUUCUUCUUUAAGGUUAAAAUUCGUAGUUAAAGUUUUAUUAUAAGAGUGUGUAUAAAAGCUCUUUACUUUUUAUAUAAACAAAAACUUUAAAGCAAUAAAUUCUUUAUUUAAACGGGGAUUAGAGACCCUCUUAUUCAAGAUUUUAUUUUUUUUAUCCUCAGUUUAAACUGAAAGGAAUUGGCAGUUAGUUAUAUUCUUUUAGGGGAGUGUGUAAUUUAAAAGAUGAUCCACUUAAAAUCUUACCCGCCAAAGGUUAGUUAGUGUAUAUCCGGGUAAAUGUUGUUGAUUCUAGUCAACAACGUAAAUUUAAAAUUUAAUUCAGGUCUAUGUGCUGCUUAUGGGUGGGUUAUUAUUCUCUACAAUAGAAAAGAGCUUAUUGAAAACAAUGAGUUAAUUUGGGACUUAACAGUAAUCUUAAUAAGUCAGAUAAGGUGAAAAUAAAAACUAGUUUUAUGAUUUGACUAGUGUACACAUCGCCCGUCACCUUCGACUUAAGUCGAAGUAAGUCGUAACAUGGUAGCCCCAGGGGAACCUGGGGCUAUUUUAUAA
RNAcentral lists this non-coding RNA (736 nucleotides) under Pseudochauhanea macrorchis. Lineage: Eukaryota; Metazoa; Platyhelminthes; Monogenea; Mazocraeidea; Chauhaneidae. The record is from RNAcentral.